GAGUUUGAUCGUGGCUCAGAUUGAACGCUGGCGGCAUGCCUUACACAUGCAAGUCGAACGGCAGCACGGGAGCUUGCUCCUGGUGGCGAGUGGCGAACGGGUGAGUAAUGCAUCGGAACGUAUCCUGGAGUGGGGGAUAACGUAGCGAAAGUUACGCUAAUACCGCAUAUUCUGUGAGCAGGAAAGCGGGGGACCUUCGGGUCCUCGCGGCUCGUUGGAGCGGCCGAUGUCGGAUUAGCUAGUUGG
This 246-nucleotide ribosomal RNA is filed under the name bacterium enrichment culture clone ALO1_GLFRUDD03FY396. RNAcentral's name for it is "partial 16S ribosomal RNA". It matches the Rfam family "Bacterial small subunit ribosomal RNA", at positions 9 to 252 of the family's 1533-position model. The record is from RNAcentral.